Molecule: ribosomal RNA, 292 nt
Filed under: uncultured bacterium
Lineage: Bacteria
Description: partial 16S ribosomal RNA
Rfam family: Bacterial small subunit ribosomal RNA
Source: RNAcentral
GUGCCAGCAGCCGCGGUAAUACGUAGGGUGCAAGCGUUGUUCGGAAUCACUGGGCGUAAAGAGAGCGUAGGCGGGAUUGUAAGUUAGAAGUUUAAUACAAGGGCUUAACCCUUGACCGGCUUUUAAUACUGCAGUUCUUGAAUGUGGGAGAGGGCGAUGGAAUUCCAGGUGUAGCGGUGGAAUGCGUAGAUAUCUGGAAGAACACCAGUAGCGAAGGCGGUCGCCUGGCCUAACAUUGACGCUGAGGCUCGAAAGCUAGGGGAGCAAACAGGAUUAGAAACCCCGGUAGUCC